Dermochelys coriacea (leatherback sea turtle) is the source of this 1595-nucleotide long non-coding RNA. RefSeq lists it as uncharacterized. The transcript has 2 exons. Lineage: Eukaryota; Metazoa; Chordata; Testudines; Dermochelyidae. The record is from RefSeq and is a predicted model, not a curated record.
UGGUGGUGCAGGUGUCUCUGUUAGAAGGAUCUUGUAUGUCAUUUGAUCUCCACCCCCUCAAGUUUUUAAAACAGAGUUGACUGGACUCAGCUGAGUCUUGUUUCUUCUCAUUGAUCAUGAAAGCUGAAAUCACUGAUGAGCAGGUCUAAGGGGCUGAGCCAUAGAUGUGGUGUAGGGACAGUGUCACAGUGAAAGACAACACAGAAGAUGCAGCAGCAAUGCAGUUCCACACUAACUGGUGUAAUCACUAAAAGCUGAACUCACCCAGGACUGGGCGAACAACUGCAAACUCAGAACACAGUUUCACAGCUAAAGGUGGCAACAGCAGAGGCAACCCUGGUGAUACUGGCAGCAAAAAGCAGUGACAGCGACAAGGUUGCUCUAUUAUCCAUGAGGAGCCAAGAGCAAACCCAGGAGAUUCAUGCCAGGAUAAUGACAUAGAAGAUAAACCAUGAUGCUGUGGAUUGUUCAGAGACUUGAUUUAUUUACCUUGUUUCUCCACAUCCUUUAGAGGGUCAACCCCUGGGGACAGGAUAAAGAACAUUGGGGUUGCGGGUCCUGAUUCCUCAAAUGAUGUUGCAAAAUCUAGAGAUCUUCCAACCACGUAUUUACUUCCCAGCUUUUCUUCAACAAAAUCUCUGCCAGAAAAACAUUGCAAGACUGUUAAUAUUCAGAAAAGCCAGAAACACCCAGAGCGGACAGUAUAUUCCUAAGCCGAUGCACAAUCUAUUAAGUGUAUUUAUUGUAUCUUGCAAACUCUGAGAAAUAAGAAACUUCAUGAUAAACUGGAUGCAAAAUACAGAAUCCUAAUCAGGAUUUGUAGCUUACCAUUAGGAAUUGCUAUUUCAGUAGAAGUGUCCCUGCACAUGACAUAUGUUUUUGAAGCCCCUGUGUGACAAACAAACAGAAUGAGAGAAAAGAAGAGAUAACCAGCUAUGGCAGGGGCUUGUCAGGGCUGUUGUGGUGAGAGGGGUAUGCUGGAAGGUUCUGGUGACUGCUUGGAUCACAAACCUCUUUGAGACUGGAUGUGAACACACCAUCAAUUAACUGUCAGGAUUAGUUAAUCAGAAGCCCCCCAUUUGAGAUAAAAGGGGGUUGUGAACCCACUCAGGAGUUUGAAUGGAGUGGAGGAAGGGGUUUUGUGGGGUGGAAGGUAGACAGAACAGACAGAAACUGAGGACACACAGAACAGAGACUGGAAGGCAAAAAAGCAAGAAAGCCAAGCAGUAGCCUGUGAGCACACUGAUCCUGGGAAAAGCUAGAGCCUUUGGGUCUGUUGGCUAAGGAGGCUUGGGGCUGUACAUUGAGAAACAGCUCCUUUUGUUCCUGGUUCCUGCUGCUCCUGGGUUCAGAGAAGCAGGACUUCAUAAAUUUCUUGUAAAUAAACAAGAUGACAUCAAAGAAAUUACCAGCCUCCAUCAAUUUCUACUUCCACCUGGACAUCUCCAGGGUUCCAAAAUCUGAUUGGCUGCUUGGAUCAAAACAGUAUAGAACAUACAGAAUUGCAGAACAGGAAGUCAAAUAGAAUCCCCAUUUUCUGGAGUCCUUUACAAAGUUAGUAUUUUCAGCUGCCAUUUAUUUUCUCCCCUAUCUCA